Lolium perenne is the source of this 6136-nucleotide non-coding RNA. NCBI's taxonomy places the organism in Eukaryota, Viridiplantae, Streptophyta, Magnoliopsida, Poales, Poaceae. The record is from RefSeq and is a predicted model, not a curated record.
CAUGUGUAUGGCGUGACCGCCCUCCCCUUCCCACCAAACCCGCGUCGCCCUCCGCCCCCUCGUUUCGUCUCCGACUCCGACCACGACUUUGAAAAGGUCCAACCGCCACCACCGCACCGACUCCUUCCCGGAAACCCAUCGCUUCCUCCACCGACCCUAGGAGGCUCCGCGGCCUCUACAAAUACCACCCAGCCCCCCCGUGGUUUUCCUCGCGCCGGAGGAUCUGAUUUCUCCUCUCUUCUCCCUCUCGUCCGGUAAGCCGCAGGUAUGGGCUGUCGAUUCCGAUCUAGCGUUCGUGGUGAUUGGCCCGUUGAGAUCCACGUCUGGUGAUUUCUGUUCUGCUUUGUCUCGUUCGGAUUGUAUUCUGCACUAUACGCUGCUUCGAUUUAUGGUCGCGGCUAGCUUUUUUUUUUCGUCUUCUGAUUCCAUCUAGGGUCGUGCCUAUUAAGUUAUUGUCUGAUUGCUUUAGGGUUGUGGCUUACAUAUUAUCUAUGUCCUAAUUUCUCACUUGAUCCAGAUUUGGCCAGAAUAACGAUUCAUAUAGAUGUGUGCUCAGCUCGCUGGCUUUGAUUUCUGUUCGUUAUGCUGGAUUGCCCAGGUCGGUUUAGUUGAUUCUGUGGAGAUAUUUGACAUGAUCGGAAUGAGAAAUCGAAGGGUGUGGUUUGGAUUUGUCUGUUCCAUUCAAGGUUGUUGAUUCCCUAAUGUUCUGCUUACAAAUACUAGUUGCGAUAAAAAAAACAACUAUCUGGAUGCACUUUGGACGGUCAUGAUUCUGCAUUUUUUACUCAAUCAGAAUUUCAUAGUUGGAAAAAAGGUUUGCUAGAUCUGUCUGGAACUAUUAGCUUUCUGCCAGAAAAGCUAUAUGCGAGAUUAUCUGAAGGUGGUUGUGCUAUAUUAUGGGUCAUCUAAUAAAGGUAGAAAAGCAAGGAUGUUGUAGUUAAGAGAUGUUGAACUCUGUGGACAUGCUAGCAAUUCAUCAGUGGUGAUAUUUGGUUAUCUUUGGUCAGUUUAAUUUCAAGAUCUGAACUAAAAAAAUGAAGGGUCUUGUUUCGUUUGCCUUCUUUGAGGAUUAAUCAAUUUGGUUUGGAAAAGUACCUUAAUGGUAGUAGAGGCAGUGCUUUUGAAGUUGUUUGUUUGAAGGUUCUUUGAAGUUUAGCAAGCUGUGAAGUGUUGUGUCUGCUCGACUAAGUAUGCUGUUUUUGACUUGGGUGUCACGUCAAGGCAUAUAUAAUGCUACCACAUGAUUGGAAUGAGAAAUUGAAGGUUGCGGUUUGGAUCAGUCUGUUCCAUUCAAAAUUCACUAACUUACAGCUAUCUGGGUACAGUUCGGACAGUCUCAGAUUGUGCAAUUUUUUGCUGUUGAUCCUGUUUCUUCAUGACUAAGUGAUCAGAAUUAUACAUAUAGUUGGAAAAGGUUUACUAGAUCUGCCUGGAAUCAUUUGCUUUUCGCAGCAAGCUAUAUAUCAAUAUAUAUAUGCUUAUCUGAAGGUGGUUGUGCAAUAUUAUGGGCCAUGUUAUAUAAAGUUAGAAGCGAGGAUGGUGUAGUUGGGAAAUAUUUUUGUUUUGUUGAACUCUGUGGACGUGCUCGUGGCGAGGUGAUUUUUCAGUGGCGGUAUUUGGUUCUCUUUGGUCAGCUUAAUUUGAAGAUCUGAACUUAAAAACUGAAGGGGCUUGUUUUGUUUGCCUUCUAUUCUAGGAGUAUUUUGGUUUGGCAAGUGAAGUUGUAGAGGCGUGCCUUUGAAGUUGUUCAUUUGAAGUUUCUUUCUUCAGGAAGCUGUGAAAUAUUCUUCGAGUUGUGUCUGCUCGACUAAGUUUACUGCUGCUGUUUUUGACUUGGGUGUUACGUCAAUGUCUUGGUCGGAUUUAUCGCAAAAUAAGGUGUUAUCUCUGGUAUCUUCUGAUCUUUUAUGAUGAUAUGGUCUUCAAUAGCAUGGUUGGAUUUCCGCUUCAUGGAUAGUCGUUUGUUAGUCUUCUGGUUGGCGUGCUCAAUGCAGUGUCGGAUUAGUUAAUUAUAUUAACUUGUUUAGUUGUAUCUGUCAUCGUAAUAUAUUUUGUACAUAACUGUUGAUCACACAUCUUGUCUGAUGUUGGAAAUUGUAACUGUUCAAUGUUAUUAUGGAUGACCUGAUAUAGUUUUGUAUUGUAAGAGUGUUACCAUGGAUGGCUUGUUUUUUUUUUGCUCUGGUGCAUUGAAGUUUUAAUAAAAUAUGGCUUGAUCUUUUUUUUGGCUUUCAUGGAUUAAACCUAAUUUUGUCUCAAAAUCAAUAAGUUUAUCUAGUAGAUUGUUGGGAGCAUCACACUGUUGAUUAUUUUGCUAAUAUCAGUUCAUUAAGACUUCAAUGAUCUUGCCCUUUACUCUUCUUAAACAAGUUAUGGAUAAAUAAGUUACAGUGCUUAUAUAUAUUUUGCUGUCUUAAUCAUGCACAAGUUUUGAACUUCCAUUUUAGGAUUCAUGUGUUGAUCCAACAUCUAAAUUUCUAUAACAUGUUCCCUCGCUAGGCAUAUAUUCUUGGCUCUGUAUCUUAGUAAGCUUUGAUUUAUGUGAGAUAAGUAGUUGUUGGUCUUUCUGUAGUCUAGUUUCUGAACCUGACCAAUAAAUUAAGUUGUUCAUGUGCUUAGGUACUUAAGAUUAUUGUCUAACUGUUAGAUGAUAUAUACACAUGACCUCAUUUAGUUUCUUCAUCUGGCCUUCACUUGUGAGGGUUUGAAUUUACUUCGUGGAUUGUUUAGUUCGACUUCUGCUAGUUUGUGUGCAUCUUAUCUGGUGUUGGAAACUGUAACUGUUAAAUGAUAUAUGGAUGACAUCAUUUAGUCCUAAAAGUUCUGUUUCCAUGGAUGGCUUGUUUUUUGCUCGGGUGCAUUGAAGUUGUGAUAAAAUAUAGCUUGAUCCUUCUUGUUUUGGCUUGCAUGGAUUAAACCUAUUCUUGUCUCUCAAGAACAACAUCAAUAUCUCGAUUCAUGGAUGUUUUAGAUAAUGUUAGUGAUAAGUAGAAGUUAGUGUCUUAUGAUCUUAUAUAAUAUCAAUUUUAGUAUUGUUCACUUGCAUCUAUUAGGUAAUGUAUGUAGAGGUUAGUACAUUAUAUUCUUUGUGUUUGGAUUGUUGGAGACAAAUUGUUAGUAUUGUUUAAGACAGUUUGUUAGAUGUCACCUGAAUAAUAUAUAGAUAAUAAAUAAAAGGGACGUGACAAUUUCACUCAUGCUUACCUUGUUUUGUUUGGUAUAUAUAUUAUAAUGUAGAGGUUAGUACAUUAUAUUCUUUGUGUUUGUAUUGUUAGAGACAAAUUAUUAUUAUUGUUUAAGACAGUUUGUUUGAUGUCACCUGAAUAAUAAUAAAUAAUAAAUAAAAAGGGAUGCGACAACUUCACUCAUGCUUACCUUGUUUUGUUUGGUAUCUCAGUAUUCUUAAAACCAAAGCUUUUCGCCAAUAUUAAAAAUAACCUCAGUUUUAGAGACACUUUGGUUUCAAAACUGCAACAUUUGUUAUAGCCAAACACCUGCAAAAUUAGGUUAGCGUAGCAUUAUUUUCUUCCUUUUUCUCCAACAUUCUGUCUCCGCUCCAUCCAUUUAGUUGUCUUCCUCUGAUGUUUGUUUUAUAUUUGUUCUACAUUACGAUAGAUUGGUAAGAGUUUUGUUUGAAUGUUUCAUUGACCAUGAUUUCCUUUUACUUGGAUGUAGAGGUAUGUUUUUGUUUCCUUCGAUUUGUAGUUCUGUGCAUUUGCAUGACUAUACUCUCAUUUGUUGUGAAUUCCAUUUUGCUAAUUUUCUUUAAGAUAUGCAGCUCGUUGUUAGCAUGAAAGCAUAUACCAACAUCUAUCACUGUCAGGUUGACUCGUAUCCAGAUUCUUCUUGAAUAGUACUAUAUUCUUUGUCCCUCUUCAGUGGUUAAUUACUAUAAACAUGUUUCAUGGCUAGGCACCUUAAGCUUGACUCUGUACUUUUAACCAGUCCAUGUCUUACUCUAUUAGUAUCAUUUUAGAAACAUAGUUCAGCAUUAAGCUUUAGUUUAUGCAUUAAACUUUAGUUUAUGUGAAGGCAAUAUUAUGAGAUAAGGUGGCGGCCUUUUUUUGGUUCUAUCCUUCUGUUUGACGGUCUGUUGAGUCCCCCUUAUAGUUUGCCAACCUCCUCAAUGUAUUAAUUUUGUUCAUGUGCUUAGGUACUUAUGAUUCUUGUAUAGAUUAACUGAUUGCUAACAGUUUUAUUUUCUGAUUUGGAAACUUCAUGUGUGAUUUAGCUUGCCUUUUGCCCUUUAUUUAUCUAGCUGAUAUUAUAGGCAAGUUAAGUAAUUUGAUGACAGGGUUAUUAUAUAUUGAAUUAUGGUAUUAUAAAUGUAAGGUGCUUCAUUAUCAAAAUUAAAACCUUGAAUUGAUUUUUGGCAUUCGGCUGUCUACUUUAAAAACUUUCAUGUCCCUAAUUCAUGUGAUGUCAGUUCACAAGUUAUUGUUCCUGAAAUAAUAUUUUUUUGGCUUGAUUCAGUGUGUUAAAAUCAUUUAAUAAUUUUUUUUUAAUAAUGACCGGUGUUCAACUGUUCACAUGAAUCUUUUAGAUAGUGUUUCAUGCUAAAUAGAAAUUGAUCUCUGAUGAUCGUAUUCAGUGUAUGGUGUUCACUUGAACCUUGUAGAUAAUGUUACAAGCUUAGGUAAGUAGAAGUUAGUAUGUUUUAUGCUUUAUUGUUUAAGACAAUUUGUUAGAUUUUACCUGAUUAAUAAAUAAUAGAGAUGUGGCAACUGUCACUCAUGCUAAUUUUAAUUUUUGAAUUGUUUUUGGUUGUUCUGCAGAUAAUUUCAGAUAACAUUCUCCAGAAAUAUUUACUUCCAAUAUUUAUGUCUACAUAUUUUCUUUCCGAUUUUCUUGCCUUUUUCCCGGUGCUGCUUGGAAUUUGCAUCACGAGCUUAUUGCACACCAUCAUGUCUAUUUAUUGUUGGUACAGUAUUUUUCAGCCUUUUUGUGCUAAUAAAAGUUUGGUUCGUCGUGGGUAUGUAUCCUGUUACGUUUGCUUGUUAAAGUCAAGGUGAUUAAGAACUAUGCUCUUCUAUUUUGAGUUUUUGUGUUUUGUUCCAUUUUCUUGUUUUGUACUGGUAUCUAUGUAUUAUGUGGUUCCAAAUCUGUUACCUCAUAAUGUAUCAAAAUUUUGUUACUGCAAGAGACUCAACUUUCCACCUCAUAAUGUGUUGUUCUUGACGUAUGGCUUUAUUUUUUCUAUAUACAUCUAGCUUUCACCUGAGUAUGAAGUUUGAUGUGCUUGCUUUUCCUGUUUCUUCUAAUACUGCCCUAAAGACUUACAAAGAUCAACUGAGUCACGGUUUCAUGUCCUGUGAUCGGAUAGUACUCUUAUUUUAUGACUUGUUGCUGUGUCGACCUUCUAACUUUUUUUGAAGUGUCUAUAUUGAUUGAAUUUCUUAGUCACCUUAAUCUAGUUGGGUGAAACUUUAAUUUGCAGUUAUUCUUAACCUUGCAUGGUAGCUUUAUUAAAAAUUUCCGGGUGCAUUGACUGUUUUGUGCAUCAUUGUGAAUGCCUCGUGCCUAAAUAGACACAUAAUUUGGUAAGGCGAAUCCAUAUUGUCUUGUAUUGUUGUCAUACCUUUCAGUGUUUCUUUUGCUUUUCUCCUAUAAAACAUUCUAUGUUUCUGCUAUGUAUGUGGCCAAAUUAUUCAUUCACUAGCCUAUCGUUUCCGAUUGAGAACUGAAAUAAGGUAUUUAGUUGGCUCGUUUUGACUGUAUUUGUAAUGUCAUUUGGCACUCCAGGCUUGAAAUUCCUAAUUCCAUAUCUGUGCUUGACCUGUUGUGACUUCUCUAAACAAGGUGUGUUUAAGUUUUAUUGGUAACCAGAAUUAUGUAUCUAGGUACAUAGUUUGGCUGCGUUGACGACAUUAUAUUGGGUGUAGCGGAUGUCAUUUAACUAUGUAGUUGCAUGCAAACUUAGGAGUGCUUAUGGUGUGUACGAAAGGAUUUGUAGGCUGUCUCUUGUAUUGAUAGUAUCAUGGGUUUCUUUGUUUUGAAUGGUGGUAGUUUCUUAUUAUACUUCUAUGGUUGAUCUGGAUUGUUGGCAGCAAUAUUGAUCGGAAAAUUUAGGAUUACUUGUCUCCAUAAAUAAUCUUUAUCUUUCUUUUUUAUUUACAUACAAGGUGGCUAUGUAUGU